GGGUUGUGAGGUUAAGCGACUAAGCGUACACGGUGGAUGCCCUGGCAGUCAGAGGCGAUGAAGGACGUGCUAAUCUGCGAUAAGCGUCGGUAAGGUGAUAUGAACCGUUAUAACCGGCGAUUUCCGAAUGGGGAAACCCAGUGUGAUUCGUCACACUAUCAUUAACUGAAUCCAUAGGUUAAUGAGGCGAACCGGGGGAACUGAAACAUCUAAGUACCCCGAGGAAAAGAAAUCAACCGAGAUUCCCCCAGUAGCGGCGAGCGAACGGGGAGCAGCCCAGAGCCUGAAUCAGUGUGUGUGUUAGUGGAAGCGUCUGGAAAGGCGUGCGAUACAGGGUGACAGCCCCGUACACAAAAAUGCACAUACUGUGAGCUCGAUGAGUAGGGCGGGACACGUGGUAUCCUGUCUGAAUAUGGGGGGACCAUCCUCCAAGGCUAAAUACUCCUGACUGACCGAUAGUGAACCAGUACCGUGAGGGAAAGGCGAAAAGAACCCCGGCGAGGGGAGUGAAAAAGAACCUGAAACCGUGUACGUACAAGCAGUGGGAGCACGCUUAGGCGUGUGACUGCGUACCUUUUGUAUAAUGGGUCAGCGACUUAUAUUCUGUAGCAAGGUUAACCGAAUAGGGGAGCCGAAGGGAAACCGAGUCUUAACUGGGCGUUAAGUUGCAGGGUAUAGACCCGAAACCCGGUGAUCUAGCCAUGGGCAGGUUGAAGGUUGGGUAACACUAACUGGAGGACCGAACCGACUAAUGUUGAAAAAUUAGCGGAUGACUUGUGGCUGGGGGUGAAAGGCCAAUCAAACCGGGAGAUAGCUGGUUCUCCCCGAAAGCUAUUUAGGUAGCGCCUCGUGAAUUCAUCUCCGGGGGUAGAGCACUGUUUCGGCAAGGGGGUCAUCCCGACUUACCAACCCGAUGCAAACUGCGAAUACCGGAGAAUGUUAUCACGGGAGACACACGGCGGGUGCUAACGUCCGUCGUGAAGAGGGAAACAACCCAGACCGCCAGCUAAGGUCCCAAAGUCAUGGUUAAGUGGGAAACGAUGUGGGAAGGCCCAGACAGCCAGGAUGUUGGCUUAGAAGCAGCCAUCAUUUAAAGAAAGCGUAAUAGCUCACUGGUCGAGUCGGCCUGCGCGGAAGAUGUAACGGGGCUAAACCAUGCACCGAAGCUGCGGCAGCGACGCUUAUGCGUUGUUGGGUAGGGGAGCGUUCUGUAAGCCUGCGAAGGUGUGCUGUGAGGCAUGCUGGAGGUAUCAGAAGUGCGAAUGCUGACAUAAGUAACGAUAAAGCGGGUGAAAAGCCCGCUCGCCGGAAGACCAAGGGUUCCUGUCCAACGUUAAUCGGGGCAGGGUGAGUCGACCCCUAAGGCGAGGCCGAAAGGCGUAGUCGAUGGGAAACAGGUUAAUAUUCCUGUACUUGGUGUUACUGCGAAGGGGGGACGGAGAAGGCUAUGUUGGCCGGGCGACGGUUGUCCCGGUUUAAGCGUGUAGGCUGGUUUUCCAGGCAAAUCCGGAAAAUCAAGGCUGAGGCGUGAUGACGAGGCACUACGGUGCUGAAGCAACAAAUGCCCUGCUUCCAGGAAAAGCCUCUAAGCAUCAGGUAACAUCAAAUCGUACCCCAAACCGACACAGGUGGUCAGGUAGAGAAUACCAAGGCGCUUGAGAGAACUCGGGUGAAGGAACUAGGCAAAAUGGUGCCGUAACUUCGGGAGAAGGCACGCUGAUAUGUAGGUGAAGCGACUUGCUCGUGGAGCUGAAAUCAGUCGAAGAUACCAGCUGGCUGCAACUGUUUAUUAAAAACACAGCACUGUGCAAACACGAAAGUGGACGUAUACGGUGUGACGCCUGCCCGGUGCCGGAAGGUUAAUUGAUGGGGUCAGCGCAAGCGAAGCUCUUGAUCGAAGCCCCGGUAAACGGCGGCCGUAACUAUAACGGUCCUAAGGUAGCGAAAUUCCUUGUCGGGUAAGUUCCGACCUGCACGAAUGGCGUAAUGAUGGCCAGGCUGUCUCCACCCGAGACUCAGUGAAAUUGAACUCGCUGUGAAGAUGCAGUGUACCCGCGGCAAGACGGAAAGACCCCGUGAACCUUUACUAUAGCUUGACACUGAACAUUGAGCCUUGAUGUGUAGGAUAGGUGGGAGGCUUUGAAGUGUGGACGCCAGUCUGCAUGGAGCCGACCUUGAAAUACCACCCUUUAAUGUUUGAUGUUCUAACGUUGACCCGUAAUCCGGGUUGCGGACAGUGUCUGGUGGGUAGUUUGACUGGGGCGGUCUCCUCCUAAAGAGUAACGGAGGAGCACGAAGGUUGGCUAAUCCUGGUCGGACAUCAGGAGGUUAGUGCAAUGGCAUAAGCCAGCUUGACUGCGAGCGUGACGGCGCGAGCAGGUGCGAAAGCAGGUCAUAGUGAUCCGGUGGUUCUGAAUGGAAGGGCCAUCGCUCAACGGAUAAAAGGUACUCCGGGGAUAACAGGCUGAUACCGCCCAAGAGUUCAUAUCGACGGCGGUGUUUGGCACCUCGAUGUCGGCUCAUCACAUCCUGGGGCUGAAGUAGGUCCCAAGGGUAUGGCUGUUCGCCAUUUAAAGUGGUACGCGAGCUGGGUUUAGAACGUCGUGAGACAGUUCGGUCCCUAUCUGCCGUGGGCGCUGGAGAACUGAGGGGGGCUGCUCCUAGUACGAGAGGACCGGAGUGGACGCAUCACUGGUGUUCGGGUUGUCAUGCCAAUGGCACUGCCCGGUAGCUAAAUGCGGAAGAGAUAAGUGCUGAAAGCAUCUAAGCACGAAACUUGCCCCGAGAUGAGUUCUCCCUGACUCCUUGAGAGUCCUGAAGGAACGUUGAAGACGACGACGUUGAUAGGCCGGGUGUGUAAGCGCAGCGAUGCGUUGAGCUAACCGGUACUAAUGAACCGUGAGGCUUAACCUUACAACGCCGAAG
RNAcentral lists this ribosomal RNA (2925 nucleotides) under Escherichia coli. Its description in RNAcentral is "bacterial LSU rRNA". It matches the Rfam family "Bacterial large subunit ribosomal RNA". Lineage: Bacteria; Pseudomonadati; Pseudomonadota; Gammaproteobacteria; Enterobacterales; Enterobacteriaceae. The record is from RNAcentral.